GCACAAGCAGUGGAGUAUGUGGUUUAAUUCGAAGCAACGCGAAAAAACCUUACCAGGUCUUGACAUCGAGUGAAGUAUUAAGAGAUUAAUACGUCUUUCGGGACACGAAGACAGGUGGUGCAUGGUUGUCGUCAGCUCGUGUCGUGAGAUGUUGGGUUAAGUCCCGCAACGAGCGCAAUCCUUAUCAUUAGUUGCUACGCAAGAGCACUCUAAUGAGACUGCCGUUGACAAAACGGAGGAAGGUGGGGAGUGACGUCAAAUCAUCAUGCCCCUUAUGACCUGGGCUACACACGUACUACAAUGGCAAUUAACAGAGGGAAGCAAAUCAGCGAUGGUAAGCAAAUCUCAAAAAAAUUGUCUCAGUUCGGAUUGCAGGCUGCAACUCGCCUGCAUGAAGUCGGAAUUGCUAGUAAUCGCGAAUCAGCAUGUCGCGGUGAAUACGUUCCCGGG
Molecule: ribosomal RNA, 450 nt
Filed under: uncultured bacterium
Lineage: Bacteria
Description: bacterial SSU rRNA
Rfam family: Bacterial small subunit ribosomal RNA
Source: RNAcentral